UACCGUAGGGGCGAAGCGUACUACCGGGAAUCACCUAGGGGGCGUAAAGGGUGCGUAGGCGGCCUAUCAAGUCAGGGGUGAAAGGCAUUGGCUCAACCAAUGUAAGCCUUUGAAACUGUUAGGCUUGAGUGCAGGAGAGGUAAGUGGAAUUCCUAGUGUAGAGGUGAAAUUCGUAGAUAUUAGGAGGAACACCAGUGGCGAAGGCGACUUACUGGACUGUAACUGACGCUGAGGCACGAAAGCGUGGGGAGCGAACAGGAUUAGAUACCCGCGUAGU
Molecule: ribosomal RNA, 277 nt
Filed under: uncultured bacterium
Lineage: Bacteria
Description: partial 16S ribosomal RNA
Rfam family: Bacterial small subunit ribosomal RNA (bases 40-277)
Source: RNAcentral